UACUGUAUAUGUGGGACACCGGCCACAGCAUGGCUUGACAAGUCUGCACCAGGGAUCUGAACCUGUGAACCUGGGGCCACCAAAGCAGAACGUGCAAACUUAACUGCUGUGCCACCGGGCCGGCCACCUGGGUUCCCAACUUUUGAUGUCUUAGCAGAUUCUUUAGCAUAACUGACAGAAUAAUGAAAACAUUGGAAUGGUGUGUAUUUUAAACCAUAAUUUUCACUUGUUGAGCCUGAUAGGCACGUCCAAGGAAGGCAGGCAGCCAACAGUUCUUCUCAGUGAGGGGCUAAGCGUGCAAGACACACAUAUCAGGUCACCCGGAGACAGCAGGAGGGGAAGGCAUCCCCACAGACAGGCCAGCAUUUCAGGAAGGGGGCUGGGGUGAUUUAUUUAAAUGGGACCUGAGUAAAUGUUGCGCUUCCCUUUUUGUUUUAAUAUAAAUAUUUCUUUUGCUCUUUCAACCCACAACUAGUACUUUAACCUUUGGAAGAUGUUAGAGAAUGCCUCCUCCAGAGGAAACAUUGCUGCAGGUUUAUUAGAUUGAGACCCUAACGUGAGAAGCAUUUUCACCUCUAUCACACAUGAACCGAGGAGGCCAGAGGUAGGUAAACAGUUCUGCAAGAUGCUAUGGACAAAUAUGUCACAUGGGUUAUCUUUUACAGAUGUGAUAUCUCAGAUGCCCCCUUUGAAGCAGCCUGCAUUAGUGUCUCAUUUGAUAGAUGAGGAGAUUAAGCCCAGAGAGGUUUUCCAGAGUUUAAAUUCUCUCCUUUAAUCAAACUUAUCACAUGAACUACAAUAAACAAAUCAGGCAGUUUGGUUUGUGUGAUAGAGCCAGCGUUCCCGCUGCGGAUCCCUGUCCGCACUGGGUCUUCGGAACGGCUGUUCAGAAUUGUUUAAAAGUUGCUUGGCACUUACUCUAGCCGUUUUCAACUAAGAAAAAUAAUUUUCAGAACUCAUUUCGUAUAAACGUUUCCAUGUAAAUAUGAACAAUUUGAAGGCUUCAACUCAAAUCUUGAACCCAAGCCCAGAUGGUUCAAGCUAUGGCUGGAGAUGUGCUGUGAGUGUAAAACACACACUGGCUUUUGAAGACUUUGCAUGAAAAAAAAUAAUGUAAAACAUUUCCUUAAUUUUUUAUAUUGAUUACAUAUUGAAAUGAUAAUACUUGGGCAGAUUGGGUUAAAUAAAAGAUAUUAUCAAGACUAACUUCCCCUGUUGCUUUUUCUGUUACUUAAUGUGGUUACGUCAAAAUUUAAAAUUGGACUUGCAGCUCUCAUUGUGUUUCUAUUGGACCUUAGCCAUCAACAGUCAUGGUUACAAUUUGUGAUUUUUAUAGGAAAGCUGGAGGCAUCAAGCGCAAGGAGCAGGAGGGCAGACGGGGAGGUGGUAAUCUGCUUCAAACAAACAAAAACAUUGGCUUGGGAGAGUGAGGCCUGAACUUUAGUCCCAGCUCUGCCGCUUACAGGUGGUUGACUAUGGACAAACGAACCUCUUUGAGUCUUAGAAGAGUCACUUGUAGUAUGAGAUUAUUCCCUUCUGGCUCUCAAUUCUAGAAGAAAUUCUACUCUGGAAGAACUCAACCAAUUUGCCUUCUCUGUACCCGCCCCUUUGCUGGAGAAAAUCACACACCUGGGCAGGUGGACCCCCUCAAACUCAAGUGGACUUUCAAAUGUGCUUGGCGAACCUAUUGCCUUUCCCAUCUCCAAGAGAAUGAUUUCACAGAUCCUCCUUAUCCCCAAGGCCACUUGCUGCCUUCUCUUCUUCCUUCCCCCAAUCCUCAGACUUCACUGAGGACGUAAGCUGUCUAUGGGAAGCUCCCUCAUCUGCCUGUUUGUAGAUCCACCCGAUCUACAAACCUACCUUCAUCUGCAACCAUCUUCUCCUACUCCCUUCCUGGUGCAAUUGAUGACCCGUCUGUCCAUCCAUCAGAGUCCCAUUUCCACACAAACUUUGGACCUCUUCCCCUCUUGCCAACACUGACUGCUUUGCUUGUCCCUCUCUCUCCAGCUUCCUCCAUCUCUCAUGUCUCCCUGACUAUGGGAGCAUUUCCAUCCCUGUGUCUCACCUCCUUCCAGCUACUGUUCAACUUCAAUGAUCUCCUUCAUGGUUAAUCUUCUUGACAAUAUUGACAUAGGUUGUCUCCAGUCAUCCAACACAUAGGUUGUUUCAUCAUCUUCUAGUCACCCUCAGUGCUGGCCAAUGAGGCCAACACCACUACAGUCCUCUAAAAUUUCUCUGAGCAAGGGCUGCAAAGAUCUCCAGUUGGCCCUCAUUUUUCUCAACAUCUCAAUGGUACUGGACAGUUGACCCUUUCAUACACUCUUAGUAUAUGAAGAGUCCUCUCCGAACCCUUGUUCUCAGUCUCGAUGACAAGCUCCUUCUCAUCCAUCCAACAGCUAAUUUUAGAUUCCUUUGGGGUCAGUCCUGAGCUCUCUUCUCACUAGGUAAUCUGUUUGGCAGCUUUAAAUUCCACCUAUAUGCUAGCCACUCCCAAAGUUAUAGAUUUGGUCCAUUGGCUCUUGUGACUUCCAAGCUAAUCUAAAAUUGUGCAUUUGAUACCUGCCUUGGAUGUCCAUUGGCAUCUCAGACUGACCUUGUCUCAAACCGAAAUAUUGAUUUCUCCCUCCAGUCUUAUUCACAUUGUCAUGGUUCUGCUAUCUACCCCAGUGCUCAAGACAGAAACUCAAGCGUCAUCUUUAUUUCUCUCUCUUUCAUUCUCCACAUCCAAUCCACUGGAAAAUCUAGGCAUUUCUAAUACUGAAAUUAACUGAAAAUCUGCUUGCUUUGCUCCAUCUGCACUGUCCCCACACUGGUACAAGCCACUAACCUUCCCCCAUGGUGGGACUCCUUCAGUCACUUCUGGUUUUCACUGUCACAUCUCAACACACCGUUUCCUUUACACCAGUCAGAGAGUGGGCUUCACUACAAGUCAAAUAAAACCCACCCUCUUUCUCAGGGUUCAAAAGAGCCCAACCUGACCCAGGUCCUGCCAAGUUCCCCCACUUCAUGUUCCAUUCUCUAUCUUGUCCUUGCUGUUCUAGCCACCCGGUCUCAUUUCAGUUUCUAGAACAUGCUGAUUCUUGCCGCCCUCAUGCCUUCCAGUCUGCCUGGAGCCUUCCUCCCCGCGCUGUUCACGUAACUGGCUCCUUUCACCCUUCAGCUCCAGCUCAGAUGCUCCCUCCCUUGGGAGAUCCCUGACCUUCAGUCUAAGGAGACCACUCGGUCAUUCUCCAUCAUGGCAGCUUGUUGGCUGUUUUCACAGCGCCUAAUAUAAAUGGAAACCAUAUGCAAUCAUUUGUUAAUGAUCCAUUUCCCCAACUCUACAGUAAAGUCCAUAAAGGCAGGACCAGGUCUGUUUUGUGCUCUGCUGUACAUUGUGUAUGUAGUAUAGUAUCUUCCACGUAUUAGAUACACAAGCAAUAUUUGUUGAAUGAAGAGGAAAGGAUGGGAGAAGGGAGGCUGCCUGGCUUGCUAGCUCAGCUUCCUUUCCCCAUGGCAUAAAUUCAAACUUGUCCCCAGACUAUGUUCCUCCAAGUUCAUUCAGAAAUAUCUGCCUCCCAAUGUAAGAACAAUACGCCUGCUAUCAUCUCUUAUUAACCUUGUAAAUGCUUAUGUCUGUAUUUUAUAAUCAUUUUCUUCUAUUUACUCUUUAACUGUCACGUCUCACUGUAGAUGCCACAGGAGUUGUUCUCAGAUAAUUGAUCAAAACUAUGCUUUCUGGCCACUUUCUAUUAUGUUCUCCUGGAAAAGGUACAGUCAUUAAAAUUCUUACUGUGCUUUUCUUCUUCAUCCCCUUGGUUGGGAUCUCAGUAACAAUCAUUAAAGAAGAGGAAAGGAUUUUAGGGAGAAUGAUGUUCAUUGAUAAGCUUAAGGGUUCAAGUUCAGGCAUUAUUAAAAACAAUUAGUGGGCUGUAGAAUUUAGUGCCAGGAAAAAGUCUUCAUAUUUCAAACCAAGAGAGGAAUCUAGA
Molecule: long non-coding RNA, 3968 nt
Organism: Equus caballus (horse)
Lineage: Eukaryota; Metazoa; Chordata; Mammalia; Perissodactyla; Equidae
Source: RefSeq, a predicted model, not a curated record